RNAcentral lists this ribosomal RNA (761 nucleotides) under uncultured bacterium. RNAcentral describes it as "bacterial SSU rRNA". It matches the Rfam family "Bacterial small subunit ribosomal RNA", at positions 62 to 819 of the family's 1533-position model. The record is from RNAcentral.
UCGACGGCAGCACGGGAGCAAUCCUGGUGGCGAGUGGCGAACGGGUGAGUAAUGUAUCGGAACGUACCUUUCAGUGGGGGAUAACGUAGCGAAAGUUACGCUAAUACCGCAUAUUCUGUGAGCAGGAAAGCAGGGGAUCGCAAGACCUUGCGCUGAUUGAGCGGCCGAUAUCAGAUUAGCUAGUUGGUGAGGUAAAGGCUCACCAAGGCGACGAUCUGUAGCGGGUCUGAGAGGAUGAUCCGCCACACUGGAACUGAGACACGGUCCAGACUCCUACGGGAGGCAGCAGUGGGGAAUUUUGGACAAUGGGGGCAACCCUGAUCCAGCCAUGCCGCGUGAGUGAAGAAGGCCUUCGGGUUGUAAAGCUCUUUCAGCCGGGAAGAAGACGCAUGGGUUAAUACCCUGUGUGGAUGACGGUACCGGAAUAAGAAGCACCGGCUAACUACGUGCCAGCAGCCGCGGUAAUACGUAGGGUGCGAGCGUUAAUCGGAAUUACUGGGCGUAAAGCGUGCGCAGGCGGUUUGUUAAGAUAGGCGUGAAAUCCCCGGGCUCAACCUGGGAACUGCGUUUAUGACUGGCAGGCUAGAGUAUGGCAGAGGGGGGUGGAAUUCCACGUGUAGCAGUGAAAUGCGUAGAGAUGUGGAGGAACACCGAUGGCGAAGGCAGCCCCCUGGGCCAAUACUGACGCUCAUGCACGAAAGCGUGGGUAGCAAACAGGAUUAGAUACCCUGGUAGUCCACGCCCUAAACGAUGUCAACUAG